RNAcentral lists this Y RNA (96 nucleotides) under Microcebus murinus (gray mouse lemur). Its description in RNAcentral is "Y RNA (ENSMICG00000045897.1)". It matches the Rfam family "Y RNA". From Rfam's summary of the family: Y RNAs are components of the Ro ribonucleoprotein particle (Ro RNP), in association with Ro60 and La proteins. The Y RNAs and Ro60 and La proteins are well conserved, but the function of the Ro RNP is not known. In humans the RNA component can be one of four small RNAs -- hY1, hY3, hY4 and hY5. Lineage: Eukaryota; Metazoa; Chordata; Mammalia; Primates; Cheirogaleidae. The record is from Rfam by way of RNAcentral.
GGCUGGUCUGAUGGUAGUGGGUUAUCAGAACUUAUUAACUUUAGUGUCACUAAAGUUGGUAUUCAACCCCCCACUGCUAAAUUUGACUGGCUUUAA